UUUGUGUAUGCUCACUCCGGUUCUGCUACCGUAUCUAUGUAUCAUGCAUUCAUGCUAGAUGAACAUGGGUUGCAGCAACUUAUUUGUCCUGUGUCAACAUAUAAUUGAGUCACUUAAAUUUAUUUCACUAGCAAACGAUAAAUACUACUAAUGGGUUCUCAAGGCUCAUUAGUCACCUUCCUCUGGUCAAAACAGAAGCAACUAAUGACGUCUCAACUCUAAAGGCUCUCAAGAAGCUAUAAGAAACCGUGGUCACCUUUCACUGCUAGAGGCAAUUCUUUCUUGCAUUCAGUGACUUGAAUGACAACGAAGAACACCCCGGGGGUGGUAAUAGAACCCAGGCAUCUUACCGGAGUGAGUCAUUGUUCUGGGUUCCCACAAAUAGCGAUUCACAUGCCUGCAGGAGAAUUACCAGCUUCGGAAGGGUCUUCAACAACCAUGAUUUUAUUUUAGCCUUAUUUCUUCAGGGAUCUCUGAAUUUUUGCCAAGAUUUUUCUUCACUAUCAAGCACAAAACACAAGUCAAGUCAUCAAUUGUUUAUUACAUGAAAAAUCAUAGGAAUGUGGAGAAGAUAUAAGAAGACAAGUCACAUGCAACAAACCACUCAUAAAUCUGGUAAAGCAACCUGUGCCAUUAGUUAAAAAUGUAGUCUACACCUUAGCUAGAAAUACAUGCAACAAUCAAGGGAGAAUCAAUAUCAUCAACAACCAUUUUGUCGAUUCUAAGCAUUAUCAUGAAUUCAUCCUAUCUAUUAAGUCUCAUACAACUCAAACAGCAAGGAUUCAGACAUAGGUCACAGUUGAGCCAAAGGUAUGAACUGGAUCAUGCAACUUUGCUAGAUUAUUAAAAAAAUGCAACUUUGCUAAAAAAAACACACUUCAUACGAGCAGACCCAGGUUAACAAAAAAUUCUUCAAAUGGCAUCUAUACAGGAUUUCAUUGUAGAAAAUAAUGCGAAUUCGCUAAAAAUCAAUAGCAGAUUGCUCAAAGAUAAACCGCACUUCAUGCGAGCAGACCAAGGUUAACAAAAAAUUCUUCAAAUAGCAUAUAUACAUGAUUACAGGGUAACCAGCAAAGCAUGCAGACAGAGUUCUUGACUAGAGUAAAUAUUCGCAGUUUAUCAUCAUCAAGAACUAAACAAAAGUCCUUCCUCUAUCAGGAUUUCUCCAAACAUGAAAAAAAGCUAAGAUGGUAACAUAGCAGCAACUCACACAGGAAACAUUUAGCCCUGUAUUUCCCGGCCCAAAUGUAGACAACAAAACGGAGUGUUCAAAGACAGAAACAGAGCAGUUGGAAAUGAUUUGAUUUGCAGCAGUAGGGUACCUAACCAAACCACUCAACAUUGCAUCUUACACGUAGUCACGAACAAUCAAGUUACCAUUUCCAAAAACAGCACUGGUAUUGCAUAGCACACCUUAGUGAUACACUAACAAAAUAGAAGAGUUCAAUGAUCAAACUACCUCCAGAACAUUUCUUCUUCAACAAAGAAAGGCAUCCAUAUCUUGACGAAGCAGGCUGAGAUUGCAAUAGACCAGGGCAGUGUGUAUUAGAUGUCUUCACCAAAGAUUGAAGCUUUGCACGGCCACGCUUCUGCUUCCUACAAGUUUUUGGUGAACCAUUACUCACACGAUCACUGUUACUUCCA
Molecule: long non-coding RNA, 1644 nt
Filed under: Triticum aestivum (bread wheat)
Lineage: Eukaryota; Viridiplantae; Streptophyta; Magnoliopsida; Poales; Poaceae
Description: long non-coding RNA (TAES_LNC021850)
Source: RNAcentral